UUGAUUCAGACCAAAAUGGGUUUCUGAAAGCUGAAAAUGGUUUGCUAUCAAGUAUAGAAGUUGGGCUCAUAACAACCUCAGUAUUAUCAGAAAAGGCUUUUAAAGUAAAACCAGUGAACAACCUAGGAAAUGAGGUGGGCUUCUUUUGCUGCUUGUUGUCUGUGGGACUUGGAGGAGUAGCGCCACAGUCUGCCAUUAUUAAAAUCUAAACCUUUGCUUUCUGAUUCUUGCUCUUGAUCUCUUUUAGAGCAUCAAUUGAAAAUUUGGUAGUAUUAUUCUUGCCCUGUCAACCAUGGCAAAGAAAAAUUUUAAAGAAAAAUCCAAGCAUUACAUGGAGAAGAACAAUUUAACAAAGGAAAAAGAGAGAGACUCGCCUGAAAAUAUUGGGAUUUUACCAAGAAACUGUUGUUGAUUGAAAGAAUUAUCCUUUCAAGGCAACUUUAAGCUUCAAAAAUAAGAAAAAAAAGGAAUUUUCUUUUUCUCCUCUUUUGAGGUUAAUAUAAGCGAAUGAGGAAAACAAGGGCAAUAUCAACAGAGUCAAAACCACCAUCUUUACAAAACCCAGAAACCAGAAAACAAAACCGAAGGCCCCAUGGAACACCUCUCCUUGUCUCCGCUACAACUCUGUGGCCUCCAUUUCUGAACAGUUAAUUACAAACCCAUGACAAAAAAAAGAACAAUAAAGAAGAAGAAAGAUUUCGCUUUAAUCUCCCUUAUUUCUCGGCUAUUGCUACCUCAAUUUCUCAGUAAGAAUCUAUCUGGAGAGACUUCAGAACAGACAUGCAUAGAGGCCCUCACGGGUCAUCAUCAUAGAGACCAGACGUGCAAUGAAUCAGAAGAAAGAAGGUUUUGUAUUUUUGUUUCCUAUAAUAUAAUAAAGCUUUCUUUUUGGGCUUGGCUUUUGCUUCCUCCUUUUCUUUUUUUCUACCUUCCAC
This 935-nucleotide long non-coding RNA is filed under the name Theobroma cacao (cacao). Its description in RNAcentral is "long non-coding RNA (TCAC_LNC002733)". Lineage: Eukaryota; Viridiplantae; Streptophyta; Magnoliopsida; Malvales; Malvaceae. The record is from RNAcentral.